CGCGCAAAUUACCCAAUCCCGACACGGGGAGGUAGUGACAAUAAAUACUGAUACAGGGCUCUUUUGGGUCUUGUAAUUGGAAUGAGUACAAUUUAAAUCCCUUAACGAGGAACAAUUGGAGGGCAAGUCUGGUGC
RNAcentral lists this ribosomal RNA (135 nucleotides) under uncultured eukaryote. RNAcentral's name for it is "partial 18S ribosomal RNA". It matches the Rfam family "Eukaryotic small subunit ribosomal RNA", at positions 433 to 567 of the family's 1831-position model. The record is from RNAcentral.